This 81-nucleotide transfer RNA is filed under the name Exophiala oligosperma. It matches the Rfam family "tRNA". Rfam says of the family: Transfer RNA (tRNA) molecules are approximately 80 nucleotides in length. Their secondary structure includes four short double-helical elements and three loops (D, anti-codon, and T loops). Lineage: Eukaryota; Fungi; Ascomycota; Eurotiomycetes; Chaetothyriales; Herpotrichiellaceae. The record is from Rfam by way of RNAcentral. RNAcentral also lists the same sequence under 1 other name.
AGUUUCUUAGUGUAGUGGUUUAUCACAUCUCCUUUACACCAUACACGGAGAAGGUCAUGGGUUCGAUCCCCAUAGAAACUA